Molecule: ribosomal RNA, 1520 nt
Filed under: Klebsiella pneumoniae
Lineage: Bacteria; Pseudomonadati; Pseudomonadota; Gammaproteobacteria; Enterobacterales; Enterobacteriaceae
Description: bacterial SSU rRNA
Rfam family: Bacterial small subunit ribosomal RNA
Source: RNAcentral
AGAGUUUGAUCAUGGCUCAGAUUGAACGCUGGCGGCAGGCCUAACACAUGCAAGUCGAGCGGUAGCACAGAGAGCUUGCUCUCGGGUGACGAGCGGCGGACGGGUGAGUAAUGUCUGGGAAACUGCCUGAUGGAGGGGGAUAACUACUGGAAACGGUAGCUAAUACCGCAUAACGUCGCAAGACCAAAGUGGGGGACCUUCGGGCCUCAUGCCAUCAGAUGUGCCCAGAUGGGAUUAGCUAGUAGGUGGGGUAAUGGCUCACCUAGGCGACGAUCCCUAGCUGGUCUGAGAGGAUGACCAGCCACACUGGAACUGAGACACGGUCCAGACUCCUACGGGAGGCAGCAGUGGGGAAUAUUGCACAAUGGGCGCAAGCCUGAUGCAGCCAUGCCGCGUGUGUGAAGAAGGCCUUCGGGUUGUAAAGCACUUUCAGCGGGGAGGAAGGCGGUGAGGUUAAUAACCUCACCGAUUGACGUUACCCGCAGAAGAAGCACCGGCUAACUCCGUGCCAGCAGCCGCGGUAAUACGGAGGGUGCAAGCGUUAAUCGGAAUUACUGGGCGUAAAGCGCACGCAGGCGGUCUGUCAAGUCGGAUGUGAAAUCCCCGGGCUCAACCUGGGAACUGCAUUCGAAACUGGCAGGCUAGAGUCUUGUAGAGGGGGGUAGAAUUCCAAGUGUAGCGGUGAAAUGCGUAGAGAUCUGGAGGAAUACCGGUGGCGAAGGCGGCCCCCUGGACAAAGACUGACGCUCAGGUGCGAAAGCGUGGGGAGCAAACAGGAUUAGAUACCCUGGUAGUCCACGCCGUAAACGAUGUCGAUUUGGAGGUUGUGCCCUUGAGGCGUGGCUUCCGGAGCUAACGCGUUAAAUCGACCGCCUGGGGAGUACGGCCGCAAGGUUAAAACUCAAAUGAAUUGACGGGGGCCCGCACAAGCGGUGGAGCAUGUGGUUUAAUUCGAUGCAACGCGAAGAACCUUACCUGGUCUUGACAUCCACAGAACUUUCCAGAGAUGGAUUGGUGCCUUCGGGAACUGUGAGACAGGUGCUGCAUGGCUGUCGUCAGCUCGUGUUGUGAAAUGUUGGGUUAAGUCCCGCAACGAGCGCAACCCUUAUCCUUUGUUGCCAGCGGUUAGGCCGGGAACUCAAAGGAGACUGCCAGUGAUAAACUGGAGGAAGGUGGGGAUGACGUCAAGUCAUCAUGGCCCUUACGACCAGGGCUACACACGUGCUACAAUGGCAUAUACAAAGAGAAGCGACCUCGCGAGAGCAAGCGGACCUCAUAAAGUAUGUCGUAGUCCGGAUUGGAGUCUGCAACUCGACUCCAUGAAGUCGGAAUCGCUAGUAAUCGUAGAUCAGAAUGCUACGGUGAAUACGUUCCCGGGCCUUGUACACACCGCCCGUCACACCAUGGGAGUGGGUUGCAAAAGAAGUAGGUAGCUUAACCUUCGGGAGGGCGCUUACCACUUUGUGAUUCAUGACUGGGGUGAAGUCGUAACAAGGUAACCGUAGGGGAACCUGCGGUUG